RNAcentral lists this ribosomal RNA (800 nucleotides) under uncultured euryarchaeote. Its description in RNAcentral is "bacterial SSU rRNA". It matches the Rfam family "Archaeal small subunit ribosomal RNA", at positions 310 to 999 of the family's 1478-position model. The record is from RNAcentral. Lineage: Archaea; Methanobacteriati; Methanobacteriota.
AAUUCGCCCUUCCCUAUGGGGGUGCAGCAGGCGCGAAACCUUUACAAUGCACGAAAGUGUGAUAAGGGAACCCCAAGUGCUCAUGUAUAACAUGGGCUUUUGCCAAGUGUAAUAGCUUGGAGAAUAAGUGGUGGGUAAGACUGGUGCCAGCAGCCGCGGUAACACCAGCGCCACGAGUGGCAACCGUUUUUAUUUGGCCUAAAGCGUCCGUAGCUGGUCUUGUAAAUCCUUUGUGAAAUCAUCGGGCCUAACCUGAUGGCGUGCAGGGGACACUGCAAAACUCGAGACCGGGAGGAGUCAGAGGUAUUCUGAGGGGAGCGGUAAAAUGCUAUAAUCCUCAGAGGACCACCUGUGGCGAAGGCGUCUGACUAGAACGGAUCUGACAGUGAGGGACGAAAGCUAGGGGAGCGAUCCGGAUUAGAUAUUAAAAAUCCUGCGGAUUUUUAAACUUCGUUCCACGAAGUACGAAAAAUCAUCAUGAUCGUGAUAACUAAACUGUGAUGGUUUUUUUUGUUAUCAGGAUUUUUAACUAAAUACCCGAGUAAUCCUAGCCGUAAACGCUGCGAGCAAGGCGUUGCAUAUUCUCCGUGAAUAUGCAGUGUCGAAACGAAGGUGUUAAGCUCGCCGCCUGGGAAGUAUGGUCGCAAGACUGAAACUUAAAGGAAUUGGCGGGGGAGCACUACAAGGGGUGCGGCGUGCGGUUCAAUCUAACUCAACGCAGAAAACCUCACCAGAGGCGACGGCAGAAUGAAAGUCAGUCUAAAGGGCUUACUUAACGAGCCGAGAAGAGGUGCAUGGCC